Apis mellifera (honey bee) is the source of this 549-nucleotide long non-coding RNA. RefSeq lists it as uncharacterized. NCBI's taxonomy places the organism in Eukaryota, Metazoa, Arthropoda, Insecta, Hymenoptera, Apidae. The transcript is spliced from 2 exons. The record is from RefSeq and is a predicted model, not a curated record.
AAAUUUUCAAUAAAAUCUUAAAAAAAUAUCGCGAUAUUUAUCUAUAAGAAGAGAAUUUGUACAAUUGAAUUUCCUCUUUACAUUUUCCUCUUUUUACAUUACAAUAGCAAUGAUAAAAUCAUGAAUAUAAUUGUUUCAAUUGAUAAUCUUGUUGAGUAUAAUAAUAAUACUUUUCACAAUUUUAAAAACAUCCUAAAGCAAACACUCAUUUAUUACCUAUUUGGGUAACAAAAGGGCAAAAAAAAAAUAGAACAACGUGGAUGAUAUUCUCAAUUAAGUAAAGAAAAAAAUUCCGUCCAAACUUGUGAAAGAAACUAUAAUUAUGAGUGAUAAUUAUUAUGAAGAAUUUAUAUCUAUAUAAUUCAUAAUUAAAUAAGAGUCAUAAUGAUUGUAAUAACGUUAAUAUGCAAAGUAUUAUUUUAUCAACGAAGAUAAAUAGCAUAAACGGAUUAAAACGUGAUAUGAUUUAAAUGUAAUCGAUGCAGUAUCUAGAAAAAUUGUUGCCACCUCCACUGCGCAUAAUAAUGUAAUAAAUCACCAUCAACCCAA